AGGGUUUAAGAGGUGAUUGCUCCAGGGAUUAAUUCCCUGGGGAGGAAAGUCCGGGCUCCACAGGGGAGGACGCCGGGUAACACCCGGAGGGAGUAAUCCCUGGAAAGGGCCACAGAAAACAGACCGCCAGCGGCCAGAAAGGAUUUUUUCCUUUCUGGUGCGGGCAAGGGUGAAAAGGUGGGGUAAGAGCCCACCGCACCAGGUGGUAACACCUGGUGGCACGGCAACCCCCGUCCGGAGCAAGGCCAAACAGAGCCAUGGGUGCCCCGCCCGCUAAGGCUCAGGUAGGCCGCUUAAGAAGAGGGGUAACCCUCUUCUCAGAGAAAUAAUCACCGCCUGGGGAAAAUUUCCCCAGGUAACAGAACCCGGCUUACUUAAACCCUGCCC
Molecule: non-coding RNA, 387 nt
Organism: Thermodesulfobacterium commune DSM 2178
Lineage: Bacteria; Pseudomonadati; Thermodesulfobacteriota; Thermodesulfobacteria; Thermodesulfobacteriales; Thermodesulfobacteriaceae
Rfam family: Bacterial RNase P class A
About the family: Ribonuclease P (RNase P) is a ubiquitous endoribonuclease, found in archaea, bacteria and eukarya as well as chloroplasts and mitochondria. Its best characterised activity is the generation of mature 5'-ends of tRNAs by cleaving the 5'-leader elements of precursor-tRNAs.
Source: Rfam